AGAGUUUGAUCCUGGCUCAGAUUGAACGCUGGCGGCAGGCUUAACACAUGCAAGUCGAGCGGUAGCACAGGGGAGCUUGCUCCCUGGGUGACGAGCGGCGGACGGGUGAGUAAUGUCUGGGAAACUGCCUGAUGGAGGGGGAUAACUACUGGAAACGGUAGCUAAUACCGCAUAACGUCGCAAGACCAAAGAGGGGGACCUUCGGGCCUCUUGCCAUCAGAUGUGCCCAGAUGGGAUUAGCUAGUAGGUGGGGUAAUGGCUCACCUAGGCGACGAUCCCUAGCUGGUCUGAGAGGAUGACCAGCCACACUGGAACUGAGACACGGUCCAGACUCCUACGGGAGGCAGCAGUGGGGAAUAUUACACAAUGGGCGCAAGCCUGAUGCAGCCAUGCCGCGUGUGUG
RNAcentral lists this ribosomal RNA (403 nucleotides) under uncultured bacterium. Its description in RNAcentral is "bacterial SSU rRNA". It matches the Rfam family "Bacterial small subunit ribosomal RNA", at positions 8 to 407 of the family's 1533-position model. The record is from RNAcentral.